AGAGUUUGAUUAUGGCUCAGAGCGAACGCUAGCGGCAUGCUUAAUACAUGCAAGUCGAACGAAGCCAAGUUUGUAGCAAUACAAGAUGGAAGCUUAGUGGCGAACGGGUGAGUAAUAUAUAGGAAUCUACCCAGUAGUGGGGGGACAACAGUUGGAAACGACUGCUAAUACCGCAUACGUCCGAGAGGAGAAAGAUUUAUUGCUAUUGGAGGAGCCUAUACACGAUUAGCUUGUUGGUGAGAUAAAGCCCACCAAGGCGAUGAUCGUUAGCCGGUCUUAGAGGAUGAUCGGCCACAUUGGGACUGAGACACGGCCCAGACUCCUACGGGAGGCAGCAGUAGGGAAUAUUGGACAAUGGACGAAAGUCUGAUCCAGCAAUGCCGCGUGAGUGAUGAAGGUGUUAUGCAUUGUAAAGCUCUUUUGCCUGUGAAGAUAAUGACGGUAACAGGAGAAUAAGCACCGACUAACUAUGUGCCAGCAGCGGC
RNAcentral lists this ribosomal RNA (485 nucleotides) under uncultured bacterium. Its description in RNAcentral is "bacterial SSU rRNA". It matches the Rfam family "Bacterial small subunit ribosomal RNA", at positions 8 to 518 of the family's 1533-position model. The record is from RNAcentral.